UGCUUCUUUCUUGAUGCUGAUUGAGGU
This 27-nucleotide small RNA is filed under the name Bombyx mori (domestic silkworm). RNAcentral's name for it is "ovarian small RNA-34296". Lineage: Eukaryota; Metazoa; Arthropoda; Insecta; Lepidoptera; Bombycidae. The record is from RNAcentral.